AGAUGUUGGGUUAAGUCCCGCAACGAGCGCAACCCUUGUCCUGUGUUACCAUGCCGAAAGGCGGCACUCGCAGGAGACCGCCAGCGAUAAGCUGGAGGAAGGUGGGGAUGACGUCAAGUCCUCAUGGCCUUUAUGUCCAGGGCUACACACGUGCUACAAUGGGCGGUACGAAGCGCUGCUAAAUCGCAAGAUGGAGCCAAUCGCAGAAAGCCGCUCUCAGUUCGGAUUGCAGGCUGCAACUCGCCUGCAUGAAGCUGGAAUCGCUAGUAAUGCUAUAUCAGAAUGAUAGCGUGAAUACGUUCCCGGGCCUUGUACACACCGCCCGUCACAUCACGAAAGUGGAUUGUACUAGAAGUCUGCGCGCUAACCCGCAAGGGGGGCAGCGGCCCAAGGUAUGAUUCAUGAUUGGGGUGAAGUCGUAACAAGGUAA
This 430-nucleotide ribosomal RNA is filed under the name uncultured Acidobacteriota bacterium. RNAcentral describes it as "bacterial SSU rRNA". It matches the Rfam family "Bacterial small subunit ribosomal RNA", at positions 1070 to 1499 of the family's 1533-position model. The record is from RNAcentral. Lineage: Bacteria; Pseudomonadati; Acidobacteriota.